UUAAGUUCAGCGGGUAAUCUUGUCUGAUUUGAGAUCGUAAUUGAUAAUGAAACAAUUAGAGUUGUUUAUAGAGCCCUGCAAUGAAGCCUUAAUGUGAGAUCGGGACGACUGUCUCGCUAGCACACAUUGAGCAACAUUGGGAGGCUCAUCAACUCGAUAUAUUCAAACCAAAUAUGCAAAGCAGCACAUGAGGUCAGUUC
This 200-nucleotide unclassified non-coding RNA is filed under the name Rozellomycota sp. RNAcentral describes it as "Cryptomycota sp. partial internal transcribed spacer 2". The record is from RNAcentral. Lineage: Eukaryota; Fungi; Rozellomycota.